AUGGACUGCCACGGUGUGUUCUGCAGGGCCUUCUCUUCCCCUUCCCCUUCUUCCUCUUCCCCUUCCCUUUCCCUUUCCUCUUCCCCUUCCCCUUCUCCUUCUCUCCGUGCCCCGGAGUCCCGGCUCCGCGGGGCAGGGACAAGCCCCCGACUCGCGGUGCCCAGCAUGGCGAGCAGCCCUGCCGCUACCUCACCUCCCGCCCGCCGCCCCUCACGGCCGCCACCCCCCCACACCCGGUGCCUGGCGCGGGCGGCGCGGCCCCACGGCCCGGCCCGGCCCCGCCGCCGGCAGCCGCCGGGGCGGAGCCCUCGCGCCCUAUCGCCGCCGGGCCUCGCGCCGCCUCCCCUCACGGCCCGGCCCGGCCCCGGCCGCGGCGAGGCGGAGCGGGGCGGGGACCCGCGGCGGUGCCGCCCGGCCGUGCUCAGCGGCCGGGGCUGGCCCCGCGGCCGGCCGGGAGCCCCGGAGCGGUGUCUGUGGGCCCGGGCCGGCUGGGGCGAAACUCCCCGGGGGAGGGGAGAGGAGAGGAGGGGAGGGGAGCGGCCGAGCCGCGCCUCGCCGGGCCGGGAGCCGGGAGCGCUGCGGGGCCAUGCCCGCCCCGGCCCGAGCGAGGCGGCCGGCUCCGCGGCACCGAGCGGCGGCGUGCGGGGAGCUGCCGUGCCCCGGGAGGCGGCCGCAGAAGAGCAGGCAGCUGGCGGAGCCGGCCGGCAGCCCCGCGCUGCUCAGCCCGCCCGGAAGAAGUGUCACCACACGGAGAGGCGGGCGGUUAUGGUCGAAUAUAUGCUGUUUAUUUAUGAGUGUAACCAGGACUUCGGACAAACUUAUAUGCAGCCCUCCCUCCCCCCAGACAACCCCCAACCCCACCGCCGGGUACCCACCCGCGGCGCACACGCCCCCCGCACACGCACGCCCCAGGCGCUGCCCUCCCGCUGCCCCGGCCCCGGGCCGACUUGCUGCCCAGCUCCAGCUACGAGCGCUCCGGCGAAGGCGGUUUGUUUGGGUUGGUUUGUUUGUGUGUUGUUUUUUUUUUUUUUUUUUUUUUUUUUUUUCCGCUCUCUGCCGGGGAGAAGCUCCGGAGUCCAAAGGUGCUGCGGCGGGGAGGCAGCGGCCGGCCCGGGCCCGCGCUGGAGGCAGCGCAGCGCACACUCGCUCACCCACCCACACAAAUAA
This 1167-nucleotide long non-coding RNA is filed under the name Anser brachyrhynchus (Pink-footed goose). RNAcentral's name for it is "lncRNA (ENSABRG00000009833.1)". The record is from RNAcentral. Lineage: Eukaryota; Metazoa; Chordata; Aves; Anseriformes; Anatidae.